GACGAACUGUCCUAACGUUGUUCGGAAUCACUGGGCUUAAAGGGCGCGUAGGCGGUCGACCAAGUCAGGGGUGAAAUCCUGCAGCUUAACUGUAGAAGUGCCUUUGAUACUGGUCGUCUCGAGGGAGGUAGGGGUGUGCGGAACUUCCAGUGGAGCGGUGUAAUGCGUUGAUAUUGGAAGGAACGCCGGAGGCGAAAGCGGCGCACUGGACCUCUUCUGACGCUGAGGCGCGAAAGCUAGGGGAGCAAACGGG
Molecule: ribosomal RNA, 253 nt
Filed under: uncultured bacterium
Lineage: Bacteria
Description: partial 16S ribosomal RNA
Rfam family: Bacterial small subunit ribosomal RNA
Source: RNAcentral